This 207-nucleotide unclassified non-coding RNA is filed under the name uncultured fungus. RNAcentral describes it as "sequence contains ITS1". The record is from RNAcentral. Lineage: Eukaryota; Fungi.
UUUAACGAUUUAUAUCUAUACUCAGACGGCACAAUUAUCAGAAUUUAAGAUGGCUACCGGCGGGCACGGGCCAGGGGCGGUUAAGCCCCCGGCGGCCCCAGAGGACGGGCCCGCCAAAGCAACGUGGUUGGUUAAACAAAGGGUUGGAGGUCGGGCCUGGAAGACCCUUACUCGGUAAUGAUCCUUCCGCAGGUUCACCUACGGAAA